GUCCGGAACAUAUUAACAUAAAUUAGAAUAUAGUAAUUUAUGUGUCAUUUGGACUGUUGUAAAGCGUUGUCUCAUUGGCACUCAUACCACGUCUUUUUUACGAUUUGAUUAAUUUGGAACUCUCUUUGUAGUUGAAAACAGCAAUUUGUAUUCUGAGAAAUAAAACAAUUUAUUGUAGUUAUUAAUUUCUCAAUGACAAUGUUUCAUUAUUAGUAAUUGCUACUCGAUUAAAAUUU
RNAcentral lists this long non-coding RNA (236 nucleotides) under Mytilus galloprovincialis (Mediterranean mussel). The record is from RNAcentral. Lineage: Eukaryota; Metazoa; Mollusca; Bivalvia; Mytilida; Mytilidae.